Molecule: transfer RNA, 70 nt
Filed under: Ovis aries (sheep)
Lineage: Eukaryota; Metazoa; Chordata; Mammalia; Artiodactyla; Bovidae
Rfam family: tRNA
About the family: Transfer RNA (tRNA) molecules are approximately 80 nucleotides in length. Their secondary structure includes four short double-helical elements and three loops (D, anti-codon, and T loops). Further hydrogen bonds mediate the characteristic L-shaped molecular structure. tRNAs have two regions of fundamental functional importance: the anti-codon, which is responsible for specific mRNA codon recognition, and the 3' end, to which the tRNAs corresponding amino acid is attached (by aminoacyl-tRNA synthetases). tRNAs cope with the degeneracy of the genetic code in two manners: having more than one tRNA (with a specific anti-codon) for a particular amino acid; and 'wobble' base-pairing, i.e. permitting non-standard base-pairing at the 3rd anti-codon position.
Source: Rfam by way of RNAcentral
CCCUGGUGAUUCAAACAGCAAAGAAUCUGCCUGCAAUGCAGGAGACCUGGGUUCGAUCCCUGACUAGGAA